UCUUUGAUAUAAUUUGACCUGCUCAAAAUUCUUCUUGUAAUGGAAAUUGACACAAGAUAGAGGAAGCGUGAUAUUAGGUGUUGUUUGUUAUAUCUUAGUAUUUUAGAGGCAUCUUGGUUGUAUGUUGUAGUUAGUUUUUGUAUUGUUAUAUCUUAGUAUUCACAGAUGAUACGUAAUGAUAAUUUAGUCUUGGUUAUGUUCUAGAUUGAUUACUUAUUUUUUCAUAAGUAUUUUGUAAUACUUAAAUAUAAAUAUAAUGUUAUGUGCAUGUUUAAUUGUUUGGCGUG
This 287-nucleotide long non-coding RNA is filed under the name Trifolium pratense (red clover). Its description in RNAcentral is "long non-coding RNA (TPRA_LNC010220)". The record is from RNAcentral. Lineage: Eukaryota; Viridiplantae; Streptophyta; Magnoliopsida; Fabales; Fabaceae.